This 495-nucleotide ribosomal RNA is filed under the name Varuna litterata. RNAcentral describes it as "partial large subunit ribosomal RNA". It matches the Rfam family "Bacterial large subunit ribosomal RNA", at positions 1849 to 2586 of the family's 2925-position model. The record is from RNAcentral. Lineage: Eukaryota; Metazoa; Arthropoda; Malacostraca; Decapoda; Varunidae.
AAAGUUUAACCUGCCCACUGAUUGGAACAAAUUAAAUGGCCGCGGUAUAUUGACCGUGCAAAGGUAGCAUAAUCGUUAGUUUUUUAAUUGGAAUCUUGUAUGAAUGGUUGGACAAAAGAAAAUCUGUCUUUAUAUUAUUAAUUGAAUUUAACUUUUAAGUGAAAAGGCUUAAAUGGAUUAAAGUGACGAUAAGACCCUAUAAAGCUUUAUAUAGAUAUAUUAUUUAAUUAAAUUUUUAAUAAAAAUUUAGUAGUAAAAUUUAUUUUAUUGGGGCGAUAAGAGUAAAAUUUUUAUUAACUGCUUUAAGUUUUGAAUACAUUUAUGUUUGAUUAAAAUUUUAAAUGAUCCUAAAUAAAGAUUAAAAGUUUAAGUUACUUUAGGGAUAACAGCGUUAUUUUUUUUGAGAGUACUUAUCGAAAAAAAAGUUUGCGACCUCGAUGUUGAAUUAAAAUUUCUUUAUAAUUGCAGAAGUUAUAAAAGUAGGUCUGUUCGCCU